GCAAAUCAAAUGGGUUCUCCUCUUCUUUAUGCCAUGGCAAAAUGUGCCAGGGGCUUUGUGAGCAAAUAGAAGACAGGGCCCUGAGGCAAACAGCUAACAGUUUAAGGCUAGACCAAACAGCAUGUGUUUGCAGGUAGCAAUCUGCAGGCUCUCAAGUCACCCUUGGAGCUGGGCCAUUCAGGCAGAUCACAGGUAGAACAAUGUUGCCUGUGUUCAGCUAACCUGGUGUAAUGAUACAAGCUCUAACCUGUAAUGCAGUGCAAUAUCCUGCAGCCGAGAGAUUUUUAUGCCGGUGAAGUUAAAUCAAUAAACUUGACGGCUGCUUCAGUAUGUGCCCAAGAGAAGAGCAGAAGAAACUAAUGAGAAUGAGCAGGACUCUGUAGUGAAAGCACUUUCUGUCUGAAGAACCCUGGCUUUGCUUGCUGAAGAAGGCUGUAAAUGCAUAAUGAAUGAGGCAGGAUGCUGCAGAAAGACAUAAAAUGGUCUCAGAGGAGAUGCUUGACGCCUUUGUGGAGAAAUAGGUUCUACAGCUUGCUCAGCCACAAACUUUGUCUCUCUCCCAUAAACUGAAAAUUUGACCACAAAGUGCAUGAUUCUCAUUUUCUUUAUGUCCAAGGGAAUAAGGGGUGGUGAGGAAACAAUGCUGGCUACUCACCACCACCCCACUACUGUACUUUUCAAGGCCAUGGAGUUGUGUGCACCUGCAGAAGGGAGUGGUGUUAAAUGCAGGAAAGCUGAAGCCAGGAUAUGUUUUACAGCAUGGCACUUAAAAUGCAAGAUCAUAAGAAAUGUUUGCAUUUUAAAAUGUUUUAUCUUAUGUUUAAAGGACAGUGUUUCUGGCAGGGGAAAAAAUAUAUAAGGGCAUUAAAUUGCUUUCUUUGCAGGCAAUUAAACAAUGAAGCCAGUAUGAGGCAUUUAAAUAAUUGUAACAGAUGUUUAUUGCCUAGUGCUGUUUACUGCAUCCUAUUAUUCCCUUUACAUACAGGAGAGAAGAACACAUGACAAACUAUACCAUAAAAGAAAUUCUUUACUGCUUUGUGAGCAAUGUGGCUGUUUCUCUGACUUCUUAAUUGAAUCACCUUGGGAACGAGUUGGUAAUAAAUAGUAUUUGGAGAGCAGGCAAGUGACUAACUGCCUGAAGCAGCAGCAGCAACUGGUGUGCAAAGACCUGGGGCUGGUGGUAAAUACCUCUGAGUAAACAAACUGCAGUGGGAUUGCUCCAAGAGUGAUGCUUGGCUCACUCUCCUUAAGGAUUUCAGUGCCUCCCAAGGCUGUGUGUUUUCUGGAGACUCUCUUUGCCUGAAAUAAUUUUCUGUGCUCCAUUGAGAGAGGAAAUAUAAGAUUCUAGGUCCUUGGAUGGACUUUGAUAGGACAUUUGUAAUCCCAUGUUACUACAAACCUGCUGUGUGGCUUUAUUUCCUGCAGCCCAUCCCAAUGAAGUAGGGAAACAUUUCAGUCUGCCCAAGAUGAUUUCUCACACCCAGUGUAGGGGUGGAUGUCCCCAGCCAGGCCAAAGGAGCACAGAGCCCCACUGCUUGUGAUGACCUCUGGCCUCUGGGGGAUGACUAGGAAAUGAUGAAGGACAAGUCUGUGUGUGUUGCUUCCCCCAGAUACUCUCCAAAGAUUUAUUUUGCAGAGACAGAUAUGUUUGCUAUGUGUUUAAUAAUGUAUUAAUUCAACCAAGUAACGAAUCUGUGUAUUUAUCAGUGGUUUUUUUCAUCCAUUCUUCUACUGAAGAAUGUCCUGCAGACAUUCAGUGUUCAGAACACUCUCUGUAAGGCUGUAGGAUAGUACAAGCUCUAGAUAAACUCAUAAGCUUCCUCAGCUAGCAAAAAAAAGGCUCUACCUUCUCAAAACAAAGAAAAAAAUCUUCAUCAACUCCCCUCCCAAUCCCAAACCCCCAAAGUCCUGUGACAUUUUAACUCUUGCCUAGUACUCCUCCUGUUAUCUU
Passer domesticus (house sparrow) is the source of this 1951-nucleotide long non-coding RNA. RefSeq lists it as uncharacterized. Lineage: Eukaryota; Metazoa; Chordata; Aves; Passeriformes; Passeridae. The record is from RefSeq and is a predicted model, not a curated record. The transcript has 4 exons.